GACGAACGCUGGCGGCGUGCUUAACACAUGCAAGUCGAGCGGUAAGGCCCUUUCGGGGGUACGACGAGCGGCGAACGGGUGAGUAACACGUGGGUGACCUGCCCUCAGCUCUGGGAUAAGCCUGGGAAACCGGGUCUAAUACUGGAUAUGACUCCGAUGACGCAUGUUGGUGGGGGUGGAAAGCCUUGUGCGGCUGAGGAUCGGGGCCCCGCGGCCUAUCAGCUUGUUGGUGGGGGUGANGGCCUACCAAGGCGACGACGGGUAGCCGGCCUGAGAGGGCGACCGGCCACACUGGGACUGAGACACGGCCCAGACUCCGUACGGGAGGCAGCAGUGGGGAAUCUUGCGCAUGGGCGAAAGCCUGACGCAGCGACGCCGCGUGAGGGAUGACGGCCU
This 396-nucleotide ribosomal RNA is filed under the name uncultured bacterium. Its description in RNAcentral is "bacterial SSU rRNA". It matches the Rfam family "Bacterial small subunit ribosomal RNA", at positions 28 to 417 of the family's 1533-position model. The record is from RNAcentral.